Molecule: long non-coding RNA, 1224 nt
Filed under: Bos indicus x Bos taurus (hybrid cattle)
Lineage: Eukaryota; Metazoa; Chordata; Mammalia; Artiodactyla; Bovidae
Description: lncRNA (ENSBIXG00000017091.1)
Source: RNAcentral
AACGCAGUGCCGGUUAGUGACUGGUGUCCCCGUGCUGGUUGUGAAGUUGGAAAGGACUUAAUGUCCCUGUGCACCUUAUCCUCCACCCUCCUCCCCAGCAUUCAGGAGAAAUCUGACAGAGAAUGGCCUUCGGUGUCCUUCCUGCUCCACCUUCCUCAAGGAAACAUGCAUCCCAACUGAGGAAACGUUCUGUUUGGGUGAAGAAACCCGCUGUGUCACCAUGACUGGCCUCAUGCACCCUGGGAUGUGCUAUGGAGAACACCUGCCACAUCAAGCCUGGGACCCUGGUGCCCUCAGGCUCUCAUUUGCUGACCAUCAAGAAGAUCAGCUGUCUUCCAAGCCCCCAGGCUUCUGGCAAAGCUGAGUGAAGAACUGAGGCCCAUGUGGUGUUUGGUCUCCAUUCCUUCUCAGCUAUAGCUUCCCACGUGUCUAUAAAUUAAACGAAUCAACAGAACAAGGCUGUCUUUGUGCUGUGAUGCAUUUCAGGGAGAUGGGAUGCAAAAAGCAGGGGUCUCAACCCUGUCGAACCCCCUCUUUGGAAUGAGGAGAGGGAAGAUGCUACCUUUUGUUAAGGGAUUACUUCCUGCUGGGUCCCUGUGCUAAGUGUUUUCCACGAGAGAGCUCAUUUCAUAAUCACAACUCUGUGAGGGUGAAAGUAUUGUCCCCAUUUUACAGAGGAACAAACUGAGGCACGGAUUGUGGUGUCACUUGCCUUUGGUCAAACAGUUGGGAGCGUCAGACUCCAGAGUGCAUGAUCACCUCUCCCGGUUAACCUCUUUUUGCCUCAGUUUCAUGUUUGUAAGUGGUGGAUAUUAAUAUUUAUAACCUCACAGAGCUAUUUGAACUGUCAAAUGAAAAAAAACUAAAAAAGGACUUAGUGCAGUGCCUAGCACCUUAAAGGGGGCUCUCCUGGUUGCUCAGAUGGGAAAGAAUCUGCCUAAUAAUGCAGAAGAGGCAGGUUCGAUCCCUGGGUUGGGAUGAUCCCUGGAGGAGGGCAUGGCAGCCCCAGCAUUCUUGCCUGGAGAAUCCCAUGGACAGAGGAGCCUGGCAGGCUGCAGUCCACGGGGUCACAAAGAGUUGAACACAACUGAGUGACUGAGUGAGGCACUAGCACCUUUAAGACAGUGUUGGUUCUGGAGACAAUGUGUCUGGCCAAAUAGCUACUAUCCUAAUAGCUGCCACUUACUUACUUAAUAGCUGAGUAGGCAUUAGUUGCUAAGGUAA